RNAcentral lists this ribosomal RNA (406 nucleotides) under uncultured bacterium. RNAcentral describes it as "partial 16S ribosomal RNA". It matches the Rfam family "Bacterial small subunit ribosomal RNA", at positions 29 to 526 of the family's 1533-position model. The record is from RNAcentral.
AUUGAACGCUGGCGGCAGGCCUAACACAUGCAAGUCGGGCGCGCGGCGGACGGGUGAGUAAUGUAUGGGGAUCUGCCUGAUGGCGGGGGAUAACUACUGGAACCGGUAGCUAAUACCGCAUACCCUCAGAUGAACCCAUAUUGGAGUAGCUAGUAGGUAAGGUAACGGCUUACCUAGGCGACGAUCCCUAGCUGGUCUGCGAGGAUGAUCAGCGCAACGGGGACUGAGAAACGGCCCAGACUCCUACGGGAGGCAGCAGUGGGGAAAAUGGCACAAUGGGCGGAAGCCGGAUGCAGCCAGGCCGAGUGUAUGAAGAAGGCCUUCGGGUUGUAAAGUACUUUCAGUCGGGAGGCGUUACCGACAGAAGAAGCACCGGCUAACUCCGUGCCAGCAGCCGCGGUAAUAC